GCCCCUGUGGCGGAACUGGUAGACGCGUCGGAUUCAAAAUCCGAUUUCUUCGGAAGUGCCAGUUCGAGUCUGGCCAGGGGCA
RNAcentral lists this transfer RNA (82 nucleotides) under Pseudovibrio denitrificans. RNAcentral's name for it is "tRNA_Leu_CAA". It matches the Rfam family "tRNA". Rfam says of the family: Transfer RNA (tRNA) molecules are approximately 80 nucleotides in length. Their secondary structure includes four short double-helical elements and three loops (D, anti-codon, and T loops). Further hydrogen bonds mediate the characteristic L-shaped molecular structure. tRNAs have two regions of fundamental functional importance: the anti-codon, which is responsible for specific mRNA codon recognition, and the 3' end, to which the tRNAs corresponding amino acid is attached (by aminoacyl-tRNA synthetases). tRNAs cope with the degeneracy of the genetic code in two manners: having more than one tRNA (with a specific anti-codon) for a particular amino acid; and 'wobble' base-pairing, i.e. permitting non-standard base-pairing at the 3rd anti-codon position. The record is from RNAcentral. Lineage: Bacteria; Pseudomonadati; Pseudomonadota; Alphaproteobacteria; Hyphomicrobiales; Stappiaceae.